AUAGGGUCAAGUGAAUAAGUGCAUCAGGCGGAUGCCUUGGCGAUGAUAGGCGACGAAGGACGUGUAAGCCUGCGAAAAGCGCGGGGGAGCUGGCAAUAAAGCUAUGAUUCCGCGAUGUCCGAAUGGGGAAACCCACUGCAUUCUGUGCAGUAUCCUAAGUUGAAUACAUAGGCUUAGAGAAGCGAACCCGGAGAACUGAACCAUCUAAGUACCCGGAGGAAAAGAAAUCAACCGAGAUUCCGCAAGUAGUGGCGAGCGAACGCGGAGGAGCCUGUACGUAAUAACUGUCGAGAUAGAAGAACAAGCUGGGAAGCUUGACCAUAGCGGGUGACAGUCCCGUAUUCGAAAUCUCAACAGCGGUACUAAGCGUACGAAAAGUAGGGCGGGACACGUGAAAUCCUGUCUGAAUAUGGGGGGACCAUCCUCCAAGGCUAAAUACUCAUCAUCGACCGAUAGUGAACCAGUACCGUGAGGGAAAGGCGAAAAGAACCCCGGGAGGGGAGUGAAACAGAACCUGAAACCUGAUGCAUACAAACAGUGGGAGCGCCCUAGUGGUGUGACUGCGUACCUUUUGUAUAAUGGGUCAACGACUUACAUUCAGUAGCGAGCUUAACCGGAUAGGGGAGGCGUAGGGAAACCGAGUCUUAAUAGGGCGAUGAGUUGCUGGGUGCAGACCCGAAACCGAGUGAUCUAUCCAUGGCCAGGUUGAAGGUGCCGUAACAGGUACUGGAGGACCGAACCCACGCAUGUUGCAAAAUGCGGGGAUGAGCUGUGGGUAGGGGUGAAAGGCUAAACAAACUCGGAGAUAGCUGGUUCUCCCCGAAAACUAUUUAGGUAGUGCCUCGAGCAAGACACUGAUGGGGGUAAAGCACUGUUAUGGCUAGGGGGUUAUUGCAACUUACCAACCCAUGGCAAACUCAGAAUACCAUCAAGUGGUUCCUCGGGAGACAGACAGCGGGUGCUAACGUCCGUUGUCAAGAGGGAAACAACCCAGACCGCCGGCUAAGGUCCCAAAUGAUAGAUUAAGUGGUAAACGAAGUGGGAAGGCACAGACAGCCAGGAUGUUGGCUUAGAAGCAGCCAUCAUUUAAAGGAAAGCGUAAUAGCUCACUGGUCGAGUCGUCCUGCGCGGAAGAUGUAACGGGGCUCAAAUCUAUAACCGAAGCUGCGGAUGCCGGUUUACCGGCAUGGUAGGGGAGCGUUCUGUAGGCUGAUGAAGGUGCAUUGUAAAGUGUGCUGGAGGUAUCAGAAGUGCGAAUGUUGACAUGAGUAGCGAUAAAGCGGGUGAAAAGCCCGCUCGCCGAAAGCCCAAGGUUUCCUACGCAACGUUCAUCGGCGUAGGGUAAGUCGGCCCCUAAGGCGAGGCAGAAAUGCGUAGUCGAUGGGAAACAGGUUAAUAUUCCUGUACUUGAUUCAAAUGCGAUGUGGGGACGGAGAAGGUUAGGUUGGCAAGCUGUUGGAAUAGCUUGUUUAAGCCGGUAGGUGGAAGACUUAGGCAAAUCCGGGUUUUCUUAACACCGAGAAGUGAUGACGAGUGUCUACGGACACGAAGCAACCGAUACCACGCUUCCAGGAAAAGCCACUAAGCUUCAGUUUGAAUCGAACCGUACCGCAAACCGACACAGGUGGGCAGGAUGAGAAUUCUAAGGCGCUUGAGAGAACUCGGGAGAAGGAACUCGGCAAAUUGAUACCGUAACUUCGGGAGAAGGUAUGCCCUCUAAGGUUAAGGACUUGCUCCGUAAGCCCCGGAGGGUCGCAGAGAAUAGGUGGCUGCGACUGUUUAUUAAAAACACAGCACUCUGCCAACACGAAAGUGGACGUAUAGGGUGUGACGCCUGCCCGGUGCCGGAAGGUUAAUUGAAGAUGUGCAAGCAUCGGAUCGAAGCCCCGGUAAACGGCGGCCGUAACUAUAACGGUCCUAAGGUAGCGAAAUUCCUUGUCGGGUAAGUUCCGACCCGCACGAAUGGCGUAACGAUGGCCACACUGUCUCCUCCCGAGACUCAGCGAAGUUGAAGUGGUUGUGAAGAUGCAAUCUACCCGCUGCUAGACGGAAAGACCCCGUGAACCUUUACUGUAGCUUUGCAUUGGACUUUGAAGUCACUUGUGUAGGAUAGGUGGGAGGCUUGGAAGCAGAGACGCCAGUCUCUGUGGAGUCGUCCUUGAAAUACCACCCUGGUGUCUUUGAGGUUCUAACCCAGACCCGUCAUCCGGGUCGGGGACCGUGCAUGGUAGGCAGUUUGACUGGGGCGGUCUCCUCCCAAAGCGUAACGGAGGAGUUCGAAGGUUACCUAGGUCCGGUCGGAAAUCGGACUGAUAGUGCAAUGGCAAAAGGUAGCUUAACUGCGAGACCGACAAGUCGGGCAGGUGCGAAAGCAGGACAUAGUGAUCCGGUGGUUCUGUAUGGAAGGGCCAUCGCUCAACGGAUAAAAGGUACUCCGGGGAUAACAGGCUGAUUCCGCCCAAGAGUUCAUAUCGACGGCGGAGUUUGGCACCUCGAUGUCGGCUCAUCACAUCCUGGGGCUGUAGUCGGUCCCAAGGGUAUGGCUGUUCGCCAUUUAAAGUGGUACGUGAGCUGGGUUUAAAACGUCGUGAGACAGUUUGGUCCCUAUCUGCAGUGGGCGUUGGAAGUUUGACGGGGGCUGCUCCUAGUACGAGAGGACCGGAGUGGACGAACCUCUGGUGUACCGGUUGUAACGCCAGUUGCAUAGCCGGGUAGCUAAGUUCGGAAGAGAUAAGCGCUGAAAGCAUCUAAGCGCGAAACUCGCCUGAAGAUGAGACUUCCUUGCGGUUUAACCGCACUAAAGGGUCGUUCGAGACCAGGACGUUGAUAGGUGGGGUGUGGAAGCGCGGUAACGCGUGAAGCUAACCCAUACUAAUUGCCCGUGAGGCUUGACUCUAU
RNAcentral lists this ribosomal RNA (2898 nucleotides) under Neisseria gonorrhoeae. Its description in RNAcentral is "23S ribosomal RNA". It matches the Rfam family "Bacterial large subunit ribosomal RNA". The record is from RNAcentral. Lineage: Bacteria; Pseudomonadati; Pseudomonadota; Betaproteobacteria; Neisseriales; Neisseriaceae.